RNAcentral lists this ribosomal RNA (264 nucleotides) under uncultured Glomus. Its description in RNAcentral is "partial 18S ribosomal RNA". It matches the Rfam family "Eukaryotic small subunit ribosomal RNA", at positions 624 to 886 of the family's 1831-position model. Lineage: Eukaryota; Fungi; Glomeromycota; Glomeromycetes; Glomerales; Glomeraceae. The record is from RNAcentral.
AAGCUCGUAGUUGAAUUUCGGGAUUGACGUGAUGGUCAUGCCUUAAGGGGUAUGAACUGUUACUGUUGAUUUCUCACCUUCUGGAGAAACUUGAUGUCCUUUAUUGGGUGUCUUGCGGAUCCAGGACCUUUACCUUGAAAAAAUUAGAGUGUUUAAAGCAGGCAUUUUUGCUCGAAUACAUUAGCAUGGAAUAAUAGAAUAGGACGGCAUGGUUCUAUUUGUUGGUUCCUAGGAUCACCGUAAUGAUUAAUAGGGAUAGUUGGG